Non-coding RNA from Dermacentor albipictus, 628 nucleotides. The record is from RefSeq and is a predicted model, not a curated record. NCBI's taxonomy places the organism in Eukaryota, Metazoa, Arthropoda, Arachnida, Ixodida, Ixodidae.
UUGACGCCGUCCGAUGUAGUUGUUUAAUCGUGUGUACGCUGUGCCGAGAGAAAUUGUGGUGCAUUUUGUAUGCAUUGAGAAUCACAAAACCCCUGGGACCGCGUAAUGUAGCCCGCAGUAUCCUUCGUGUGGUGCGCCGAUGUCGAAGAUAUGACCCUUCGCGCUUCCUUUGUUCCGGGCUCAUGAACAGGAUCUCCUCCUCUGGCACUGUCGCAUCGUAUCGCGCUGUACGGAAGAAUUUGGUGAAAGUUGUGCUCUUACGUCCUGUAGUUGAUCCGCAAUUCAACAGUGUGUGCGCCGGAAGGACCGUUGGUGCAGUCGAUGCCACGGCACCUGCGACACUAAAAGGAGCGUUUUCCGAGUACGCCUAGAAAGGGAUGGCAAGAUUUUGUGAACCAGAGGCACCUCCACAUAUGCACCUGCGGCACUUCUGCAGCCUCAACAGCACGGAAAAGUACCUGAUGUGCAUGCUGUGACAAGCUGCUGUAGGUAUGGCUGGACCUGGAGAAGAAGUGUAAGCAGACCAUGCUAUGUUGCUGAUCUGCGCUGAUCUCCACAUCCAAGUUGGUCCCGCGACAGUUGGGCACCAUUGUGCCUUGCUUCAUUGACAAGGUGAUAUAAUAUGGUG